This 318-nucleotide unclassified non-coding RNA is filed under the name fungal sp. RNAcentral describes it as "partial internal transcribed spacer region". The stretch from base 1 to 46 matches the Rfam family "Eukaryotic small subunit ribosomal RNA", at positions 1786 to 1831 of the family's 1831-position model. RNAcentral also lists the same sequence under 1 other name. The record is from RNAcentral. Lineage: Eukaryota; Fungi.
AAGUCGUAACAAGGUUUCCGUUGGUGAACCAGCGGAAGGAUCAUUACCAUAAUCCAUCAUUGGAAUAUAUCAACCAACUAUGUGAACCUAUAAAACUGUCUUUUGGGAUAUCGUAUAUCAUCCCAAAUGCAUGUGUUUGUCUUCGGAUGAACCUCCGUGCAUUUCUGAUAUCGAUAUUCCAAGUGUUUUUUUCAAAACACUUACCAUAUUAAACCCCAACAUAAAACUUAACCACUGAAUAAAAAGCAAUGCUUUCCAUGGCAUUUGCGAUUAAAAGUUAAUAUAUGACAACUUUUAACGGCGGAUCUCUUGGCUCGU